This 75-nucleotide microRNA precursor is filed under the name Haemonchus placei. RNAcentral's name for it is "mir-5928 microRNA precursor family". It matches the Rfam family "mir-5928 microRNA precursor family". The record is from Rfam by way of RNAcentral. Lineage: Eukaryota; Metazoa; Nematoda; Chromadorea; Rhabditida; Trichostrongylidae.
GGUCCAAAUUAGAAGUAGAGUAGAUUAGUACGACCAGAUCACCUUACUAAACUAGCCUACUUCAAGUUUGUGCCC